Pelobates cultripes (western spadefoot toad) is the source of this 310-nucleotide non-coding RNA. Lineage: Eukaryota; Metazoa; Chordata; Amphibia; Anura; Pelobatidae. The record is from the annotation of a GenBank genome assembly.
ACAAGAGGUGCUGCUCUGCUGGAGCGUGCAAGCGACCAAACUGCGAGGUGUGCCAGUCUUUGCCUGAGUGGCGAGGUGCUGGUAGUGUUGUGCGGGGCUCAUGGGGCACGUCCUCGGGCGUACCGAGCGUGUUUGGGUGUGUGCUCUGCAGUGCAGCUUCUGGUUUGGUGAGUGUGUUCUAGGUCCUAGAUGUAAUUACUCCUGACCAAGGGAGUUGCGGGGGGGGUAGGAGGGGUGCUUUCAUUGGUCCGCUACAAAGUGUGAGUGUAUAUGUAGGAGUAGUACCGUGUCCUGUCGAUUUGAGGUGGGC